Molecule: long non-coding RNA, 508 nt
Filed under: Homo sapiens (human)
Lineage: Eukaryota; Metazoa; Chordata; Mammalia; Primates; Hominidae
Description: HSALNT0079706
Source: RNAcentral
AGCACACUGGAGUUUUUGUCCAGAAGUUUGACUUUAGAAGAUAAGAAAUAACUGAGCGUAUUACAAGCAGGAGUUAGAGGAAGAGACUCAGUACAGAAGAGACAGGAACAAAAGUUCACCUCCAUUCAAUGGGAAAGGAUACAGAUCAAGAGUUCAGGAAAAGUAGGAGAAAGAAGCUCUAUUCCAGAAGCAGUCUGGAGCACAAAGAAUCCCUAAUCACUGACAUUAAGAAAGAAGAAAAAUAUUCCUAGGACGAUCCUGGAGAGCAAAGGUCAUCAGCAGUCACUUGACUUUCCUUGGAUUUCUCAACUGCAGUAGUCACAUGGUCUGCUGAAAAUGAAUUCUCUUUAUUUUCAUCUGAUUUCAAGGAAUUAUGGUUUUCAGUGAUUUCUUCAUUUGGAUCUAUUUUGAGACAGAGUAAUAGCAUUAAAACCCCCUUCUGAAUUAAUUAACAUGGGCUUAAAAUCACUCAAUUCACUAUUGGAUUCUUUGGAGCUGUUAAUCUGUU